AUUCCCGGGCGAGGUUCCGUGACUCUGGAGUGGGGAGUCAGGAAAAGAAAGAAAAAGGGGGCAAGUCAAAGCCUCCUCAAAAUCCGAUUUGGCUUUUUUCAAUGGGAUCAUCUAUCUUCUCUAUCUGGUUUUGCCAGUUAAACACUAAUGAUGCACAUUCUAAGGCAUGAUCUAAUUUCCCUGGAAGGCAGCCCAUUGCAGAUAGUCUACCCUGGCAGAUAAGAGAAGGUCCAUUUCUCAAAGGGUGUUGGGGGUCAAUAAAAGAUGUAGCUGCACCUCUGCUGAGGAUUGCUGGGUGCUUCCUUGCAGCCUUCCCUGACGCA
Suricata suricatta (meerkat) is the source of this 323-nucleotide long non-coding RNA. RefSeq lists it as uncharacterized. The record is from RefSeq and is a predicted model, not a curated record. The transcript is spliced from 3 exons. NCBI's taxonomy places the organism in Eukaryota, Metazoa, Chordata, Mammalia, Carnivora, Herpestidae.